Carlito syrichta (Philippine tarsier) is the source of this 526-nucleotide long non-coding RNA. RefSeq lists it as uncharacterized. The transcript is spliced from 2 exons. The record is from RefSeq and is a predicted model, not a curated record. Lineage: Eukaryota; Metazoa; Chordata; Mammalia; Primates; Tarsiidae.
CAGGUGACUGGUGCUGUGGUACAGGCACAUACAAGUCCAACAUCCCGGAGUGAGAUUACAGAUGCCAGUACCUCUCAUAUCCUGUUCUGAUGGACGUUGGUGCCUGGAUCUGGAGGGAGUUGGAGUCAGAAUUAUCUGUUGAAGAAGAUGUCCCUUGAGAGGAAGGCUACUGUAAAACUGGUGAAAUGAAAAUGAAUCUGUGGGUUGGAGCUCCAACAAUAGUAUUUUUGAAGACUGGUAUCUUCUGUUGCCAAGAAAAAUGACUAGUUUGAAAUGAGUUCUUAUGCAUGUUUAGAAAGAAAAGUCUUUAAAGUGAGUGUAUCUUUAAACUGUGCUUAAAUGUGUACAUGAGGAAUAUGUUUUAUGUGAAAUAUGUUCUUUUGUUAUGUGUUAUUUAGCUGUGGGUUAUGUAACUUAUGUUCUAAUAUUCAGAAGCUUUGUUUUAGGUACAAGUACCAUUCUCAAGAUUGCCAAUUUCAUCACAUGUUAAAUGACAUAAGAAUCUUUGGGCUAGGUAAAUGGAAAA